RNAcentral lists this ribosomal RNA (443 nucleotides) under uncultured bacterium. Its description in RNAcentral is "bacterial SSU rRNA". It matches the Rfam family "Bacterial small subunit ribosomal RNA", at positions 337 to 797 of the family's 1533-position model. The record is from RNAcentral.
GCCUACGGGGGGCAGCAGUAGGGGAUAUUGGUAAUCUGCGAAAGCGGGAACCAGCAACGCCGCGUGUGCGAUGAAGGCCUUCGGGUUGUAAAGCACUUUUCACCGGGACGAGGAAGGACGGUACCGGUGGAAUAAGCCUCGGCUAACUACGUGCCAGCAGCCGCGGUAAAACGUAGGAGGCGAGCGUUAUCCGGAUUUACUGGGUGUAAAGCGCAUGCAGGCGGUUCGUUAAGUUGGGUGUGAAAGCUCCUGGCUCAACUGGGAGAGGUCGCUCAAGACUGGCGGACUAGAGGGUGGUAGGGGAAGGCGGAAUUCCGGGUGUAGUGGUGAAAUGCGUAGAUAUCCGGAGGAACACCAGUGGCGAAGGCGGCCUUCUAGACCAUGACUGACGCUCAGAUGCGAAAGCUAGGGUAGCAAACGGGAUUAGAUACCCCCGUAGUCCC